UCGAUUCUGCGUUAAAGGGAACGGGUCGGUGCGGGAGGGGCUCGAAAGCGGCCCUCGCCCUUCCCAUUACAGACGGGGAAACUGAGGCCCAGAGUGGGGAAGUCGCCAGCCUGAAGGGCCCAGAGAGAGAGAGCUGAUUGUUAAACAUUUACCAGCAUACCUCUGAGAGUGGGCUUUGGAGCCAUGAUAGACCUGAGUUCAAAUCCUGCUUGUGACCCAUACCAGCUGUGUGACAAUGGGGUGAGAAAAUCCCUUUCAACUCAGAUCAUGCCCUGCUUACUCCAUGGAUCUAUGAAAAUCACCGCAUGAAUUUCACGUCGCAAUUCUAGGGGUCAAGACCGAGCCAAAAACUUAUGUAUUCCUGCUGGCAAUACAAUUGCUGUUCUGUUUAUAUCUAUAUCCAUAUCAAUAUUCACAGAUCUGUGUGUAUGAAAAAAAAAAGACUAUCCAAUCCAGUCUUUCUUUCACUACCCACAAUGCAUUCAUCAUAUACUACAGUCAAGUUGUACUUCCUUUAUGAAGCCUUCUGAUCACCUUAUUAUUGUUUAUUGUUAUUGUUUUUCAGUCAUGUCCAACUC
Phascolarctos cinereus (koala) is the source of this 578-nucleotide non-coding RNA. The record is from RefSeq and is a predicted model, not a curated record. NCBI's taxonomy places the organism in Eukaryota, Metazoa, Chordata, Mammalia, Diprotodontia, Phascolarctidae.